GUGUGGGAGUGGCGAAAGGGGUCCAGAGGCUUGGCUGCCUUCGCGGCCCCCCACCUUGGACUUAACUCAUUUUCGCCCCCAGCCCUUGUCGCCGUACCUUGCAAGUACUGUGGCGAAGGGUGUGGGUGUGGCGAAAGGGGUCCAGAAGCUGGGCUAGCUUCGCGGCCCCCCAGCUUGGACUUAACUCCUUUUCUCCUCCAGCCCUUGUCGCCAUACCUUGCGGGUACUUUGGCGAAGGGCGUGGGAGUGGCGAAAGGAGUCCAGAGGCUAUGGCGGCUUCGAAUCCCCCAAGCCUGGAAGCAACUCAUUUUCGCCCCCAGCCGUUGUCGCCGUACCUUUCGGGUACUGUGGCGAAGGGUGUGGGUGUGGCGAAAGGGGUCUAGAGGCUGGGCUGGCUUUGCGGCCCCCAGCUUGGACUUAACUCAUUUUCGCCCCCAGCCCUUGUCACCGAACCUUGUGGGUGUGGCGAAAGGGGUCCAGAGGCUGCGCUGGCUCCGCGGCCCCCCAACUUGCACUUUACUCUUUUUCGCCCCCAGCCCUUAUCGUCGUACCUUGCGGGUACUGUGGCGAAGGGUGUGGGUGUGGCGAAAGGGGUCCAGAGGCUGGGCUGGCUUCACGGCCCCCAGCUUGGACUUAAAUUCUUUUUGCCCCCAGCCCUUGUCGCCGUACCUUGCGGGUACUUUUGCGGUGGUCGUGGCCCUUUUCGCCAUACCUUGCGGGUACUGUGGCGAAGGGUGUGGGUGUGCGAAAGAGGUCCAGAGGCUGAGCUGGCUUCACGGUCCCCAGCUUGGACUUAACUCCUUUUCGCCCCAAGCCCUUGUCGUCGUACCUUGCAGGUACUGUGGCGAAGGGUGUGGGUGUGGCGAAGCUGGUGCAGAGGCUGGGCUGGCUUCGCGGCACCCAGCUUGGACUAAACUCCUUUUCGCCCCCAGCCCUUGUCGCCGUAUCUUGCGGGUACUGUGGCGAAGGAAGUGGGUGUGGCGAAAGGGGUCCAGAAGCUGGGCUGGCUUCACGGCCCCCAGCUUGGACUUAACUCCUUUUCUCCUCCAGCCCUUGUCGCCGUACCUUGCAGGUACUUUGGCGAAGGGCGUGGGAGGCGGCUUCGAAUCCUCCAAGCCUGGAAGCAACUCAUUUUCGCCCCUAGCCCGUGUCGCCAGGGUCCAGAGGCUGGGCUGGCUUUGUGGCCCCCAGCUUGGACUUAUCUCGUUUUCGGCCCCAGCCCUUGGGUCCAGAGGUUGGGCUGGCUUCACGGCCCCCAGCUUGGACUUAAAUCCUUUUUGCCCCCAGCCCUUGUCGCCGUACCUUGCGGGUACUUUUGCGGUGGAUGUGGGUGUGUCGAAAGGGGUCUAG
This 1350-nucleotide long non-coding RNA is filed under the name Oryza sativa Indica Group (long-grained rice). RNAcentral's name for it is "lncRNA OsKYG_01g0016200". The record is from RNAcentral. Lineage: Eukaryota; Viridiplantae; Streptophyta; Magnoliopsida; Poales; Poaceae.